CUAACACAUGCAAGUCGAACGGUAACAGGAAACAGCUUGCUGUUUCGCUGACGAGUGGCGGACGGGUGAGUAAUGUCUGGGAAACUGCCUGAUGGAGGGGGAUAACUACUGGAAACGGUAGCUAAUACCGCAUAACGUCGCAAGACCAAAGAGGGGGACCCUCGGGCCUCUUGCCAUCGGAUGUGCCCAGAUGGGAUUAGCUUGUUGGUGGGGUAACGGCUCACCAAGGCGACGAUCCCUAGCUGGUCUGAGAGGAUGACCAGCCACACUGGAACUGAGACACGGUCCAGACUCCUACGGGAGGCAGCAGUGGGGAAUAUUGCACAAUGGGCGCAAGCCUGAUGCAGCCAUGCCGCGUGUAUGAAGAAGGCCUUCGGGUUGUAAAGUACUUUCAGCGGGGAGGAAGGGAGUAAAGUUAAUACCUUUGCUCAUUGACGUUACCCGCAGAAGAAGCACCGGCUAACUCCGUGCCAGCAGCCGCGGUAAUACGGAGGGUGCAAGCGUUAAUCGGAAUUACUGGGCGUAAAGCGCACGCAGGCGGUUUGUUAAGUCAGAUGUGAAAUCCCCGGGCUCAACCUGGGAACUGCAUCUGAUACUGGCAAGCUUGAGUCUCGUAGAGGGGGGUAGAAUUCCAGGUGUAGCGGUGAAAUGCGUAGAGAUCU
RNAcentral lists this ribosomal RNA (662 nucleotides) under uncultured Pseudomonadota bacterium. Its description in RNAcentral is "bacterial SSU rRNA". It matches the Rfam family "Bacterial small subunit ribosomal RNA", at positions 48 to 699 of the family's 1533-position model. Lineage: Bacteria; Pseudomonadati; Pseudomonadota. The record is from RNAcentral.